Molecule: ribosomal RNA, 440 nt
Filed under: Pseudomonas sp.
Lineage: Bacteria; Pseudomonadati; Pseudomonadota; Gammaproteobacteria; Pseudomonadales; Pseudomonadaceae
Description: bacterial SSU rRNA
Rfam family: Bacterial small subunit ribosomal RNA
Source: RNAcentral
CCUACGGGGGGCAGCAGUGGGGAAUAUUGGACAAUGGGCGAAAGCCUGAUCCAGCCAUGCCGCGUGUGUGAAGAAGGUCUUCGGAUUGUAAAGCACUUUAAGUUGGGAGGAAGGGCUGUCGGCUAAUACCCUGCAGUUUUGACGUUACCAACAGAAUAAGCACCGGCUAACUUCGUGCCAGCAGCCGCGGUAAUACGAAGGGUGCAAGCGUUAAUCGGAAUUACUGGGCGUAAAGCGCGCGUAGGUGGUUCAGCAAGUUGGAUGUGAAAGCCCCGGGCUCAACCUGGGAACUGCAUCCAAAACUACUGAGCUAGAGUACGGUAGAGGGUGGUGGAAUUUCCUGUGUAGCGGUGAAAUGCGUAGAUAUAGGAAGGAACACCAGUGGCGAAGGCGACCACCUGGACUGAUACUGACACUGAGGUGCGAAAGCGUGGGGAGCA